Long non-coding RNA from Canis lupus familiaris (dog), 1549 nucleotides. RefSeq lists it as uncharacterized. The record is from RefSeq and is a predicted model, not a curated record. The transcript is spliced from 7 exons. NCBI's taxonomy places the organism in Eukaryota, Metazoa, Chordata, Mammalia, Carnivora, Canidae.
UAGUCAUCAACCACACUGUGUGGGAGAGCUGUGGUCUGAGCUGAGUGGCCAGAGAUGAGCUGGAAGAGCCAAGAGGCUGACUUCAUCUCCACCUGGUCCAGAAAGGGAGACCGAGAGAAGAGGCCUAUAUCCAGAAUCUGAAGAUCCUUUCAGGAUGUGGCUUUUGGGAGUUUUCUCAUCUGUAAAAUGGAGAUUCUGAUCAUAGCUCUCCUGCUUGCCUCAAUGAACCAUUUGGUGAAUCCAGUGAGGGACUUUAUUUAUUGAAUACCUACUGAAUCGUUGACUUAUCUGGGUGUAAGCUCUGGAGCCUGGGAAGUCCGAUGUCAAAGAGCCAGCAGAUUCUGUAUCUGGGAUGGAAGGGGAGACUCACAGGUGCAGAGCUGUGCAUACCUUGGUAAUCUUGGGGUCUCAUCUAUUCGUUGAUAGAAGCCACAUUCUCCAACUGCAGAGGGUCAUCUUUUGCAGAAGGCACUAUAUUCAUCCUGGGCCAGCCUAGUUCCUUUACAAUCAGAAAUCAGAACACAGUAAAGAAUGGACUUGUUCCAGAGCUCAGCGAGAGUGUUGGCAAGGCUCAUGAGGGAAAACAGCAGUAAGAAGAGAACCAGAGAGAAGCAGGGCUCUCAGCAAGUGCACCUGCUGCAUCCGUGGCACUCAUAAACGUUCCUCCAAAAACUGCUCAUAGAAGAUUUCAAAGAGAGACUGGGUGAACAUCAUCCUGAGAAUGUUUCCAGUAACGAGAGAAAACAACAACAACAAAAAACAAAUAAAGGCUAUGUUAUGGGGAACUAAUGGUGGUGCUGGGGACUAGUUAGGAAUUGUUACAUUUGCCCCUGGAUGGACUUGUGACCUCAAGUGUUCUCAGGAUGCUGGCUCUGGGACAUUGGGUCUCACCUACUCAUCCGAUGGUGCAGUUAUGCCCUUAAGGUCACUUGCUGUAGGGGUAUGCAAGCAGACAUACCCAUGAGGACACUUGAACAGACCGUGGAGAGCCCCAUAUGUUGAGGAACAGCCAGCACUGUCUUCCCAGUCAUGUGAGUCAACCGCCUGGGAAGCAGAUCCUCCGGCCCCAGCUGAGCCUUCGGAUGACUGUAGGUCUGCCUGAUAUCUUAACAACCUCACGAGAGACCCUGAACCAGAACAGUACCCACCCCCAAAUUUCUUACCUACCAAAACUAUGACAGGUAAAAACAUUUAUUAUUGCCUAAGCCACGGAGCAAUAGAUUAACUAAUACACAGUCAUGUGUGCUAUUCCUGCCUUCCAUCACUUCUAUUACAUAUUUUUUUUUCAGUUUUGUGGAAUUACAACUAAUACAAUUAUAAGAAUGCAAAAGUGUACAUAGUGGUGAUUUGAUAGACGUCUACAUUGUGAAAGUGUGUAUACUAUCUAGCACAUUAAUACCAUCAGCUCACAUAUUUAUAUCUUUGUGUGUGUGAGAACAUUUAAGUUCUAGUCUCUUAUCAAAUUUUAAUUACAUAAUAUAAUGUUUUCAACUAGGGUCACUACGUUUUAUAUUCAAUCCUCAGAUUUUAUUUAUCUUCUAGCUGGGAG